Molecule: RNA transcript, 2079 nt
Organism: Oryza brachyantha (malo sina)
Lineage: Eukaryota; Viridiplantae; Streptophyta; Magnoliopsida; Poales; Poaceae
Exons: 8
Source: RefSeq, a predicted model, not a curated record
AGCGCGGGACAGGAGGGUCAACAAACAAAAUUGGCGACAACCUCAAUUCUUGGCGCUCAGAUUUCCCCCAAAAAUAAAACCUAAUCUCACCUUUCUUCUCACUUGCCCACGUUUCCUUGCUUCACACACCACAGUAGCAGCUCCAUCCCUGUACUCUCCAAUCUCUCUUCCAUUUCUCUCCCAACAGAACGUGCUUUCAGUUCUCCUCAAUCCAUUUCUUCCCCAUGCCAAUUCUCCCUCAUUAAUCUAGCUUCAACCACUAAAUCUGAGAAGCAUAUAUUUCCUCGGUCUGCUCCAGCACGCAGCACAUUUCUUCUUCCAUGGGCUGAGGAUUGAUGACUCUCUCCACCAAGCAAAUCUGGGGGGCAUCUAGGUAAAGGCUGUGAGGAGCAAAUCAAGGAGGCAGCUAGUACAGUGUAAGACAUGACGGAGGACCGUAGUUGGAUGUAUACUGGGCGUCAAAAGAGAGAUUCAUUCACAGAUGAGUGGCUUGAAAAGGCAAAGGCAUUUAUUGAGCAUGCAUUUCGUGUUGUGCCGAAUGCUAAUGUUGACGGAGUGAGAUGCCCUUGUGCAUUUUGUUUGAAUUGCAAGCUAUAGAGCAAAGAAGUUAUGCAGUUUCAUUUAGGAAAAUAUGGUUUCAAAGCCAAUUAUGAGGUAUGGAUAGCACAUGGUGAGACAUUGGCAACUCAAGAGCAAUCUACUCCGGAAGAUGGGUCUGAAUCAGUUGGACGGAUGGAGCCUGCUACUAACUGGAAACACUAUCAGGCUGCUGUAGAUCCUCUUGGAGAGUAUGGAAACUUGCUUGAAAGAGUUGAGGCUGACUUUUGGGCACAGUAUAGAUGGAAGGAGGGGCAUGAGGCACAUGCUAAAAAAGUUCUGUUUAAUGUCAUCAAGAACAAAAUUGGUCAAAUGUUAUACUGGACACGUAUUCAGGCUGUUCUAAGAUACUAUAAGGAGAUUCUGAAAAUUCCUACGAAAGAGGAGGAGGCCUGCACAAUUUAUCUUACUCAAGAGCAGUACAUUCAGUGCAGGCAAAACCUUGUUGGAUGCAAUUAAAACCAGUUGCAUGGAGCUUACGAGCAAGGAGGUGGGCUUCAGAACAAUAGAAGAACAAAUCAGUGAGUUCACGAGAGAAGGAAAAGAAACAGAAAGCCAUGCCAUCGACAGGGUAGUUGUUCUCUAGUUCGCUUGUGCCAGAAACAGGGACAAAAAGAAGGUCGGGAGAUCAGUAGACUAGAGGGCUAUAUUUAUGGACACAGAAGCAAGACAUCACAGGACCCAAAUGUGCUUUGCAAUGAUAAUUCAACCAAUAGAUUGGCAUCAUAUAAAGGUGUUCUUAGGAAGAAACAUGACCCUACUUGUGACUGGAUGAACCAGCCAAUAGAUGGAAGUACAGUUUAUCAGGCUUUGCGGUGGUAAAAAACAUGGAUGUUUUGGAAUAUGUGAUGGCUUAAUUAACACUUCUGUGUCCUCCAUGAUGUUAGAGCAGAGACCUCCUCAGGAGAGAGAAUCAACAAGACACUUGAUAGGAUGUCACAGCUAGAAGAGCGCAAUCGUGCGCAAAAUAACCAAGCUCAAGAGCAAAUUCGUGAGCAAGUUGCAGCAGCUGUUCAUGCAACCAAUGAAUAUUGGUUGAAAUACAUUCAGAACCUUGUUGAGAAGAAUGGUGCAAAUUCCUUGGUGUUGCCUUCUCCUCCACCAUUCUGCUUUCCAACUCAGCUGGCAUCUGAUCCAGGACCUGCAACACAUGAAGCAUCACAAGGUGACAGUGGGAUCGGUGGCAUAAAUGAUGGUGGCACUCCUACUGUUGGCAACUGUGGUUGAUUCAUUUAAAAGUAUUAGGUGUAGGGAGUAGAUCAUAUUUUGGAUAAACUUUCAUAUGGUUAGUUUCUAGAUGGUACUAAAUGUGAACCUAAUUAACUAGGCUACUUUGAACUAUGCUGAUGUGGUAUCAGUACAGAGGACUGAAGACACUUGUUUAGCUAUUUUGGUUCGAGAUGUGAUUCAGCUUUUGUGUGAUAAAUGACCACCUUAUAUUUAUGAUAUUUGAAUGUGCUAUACAUGCAUGUUGAGGUUGAA